UCCAGACUCCUACGGGAGGCAGCAGUGGGGAAUAUUGGGCAAUGGGCGCAAGCCUGACCCAGCAAUGCCGCGUGAAGGAAGAAGGCUUUCGGGUUGUAAACUUCUUUGACAGGGGAAGAGCAGAAGACGGUACCCUGAAAACAAGCCACGGCUAACUACGUGCCAGCAGCCGCGGUAAUACGUAGGUGGCAAGCGUUGUCCGGAAUUACUGGGUGUAAAGGGAGCGUAGACGGUGAUGCAAGUCUGGAGUGAAAGGCGGGGGCCCAACCCCCGGACUGCUCUGGAAACUGUAUGACUUGAGUGCAGGAGAGGUAAGCGGAAUUCCUAGUGUAGCGGUGAAAUGCGUAGAUAUUAGGAGGAACACCAGUGGCGAAGGCGGCUUACUGGACUGUAACUGACGUUGAGGCUCGAAAGCGUGGGGAGCAAACAGGAUUAGAUACCCCAGUA
Molecule: ribosomal RNA, 447 nt
Filed under: uncultured bacterium
Lineage: Bacteria
Description: bacterial SSU rRNA
Rfam family: Bacterial small subunit ribosomal RNA
Source: RNAcentral